GAGGUUGUAAUGAAUGACACCGUAAAGUUGAUAUAUGGGGUGACAUGCAUGGUACUUAAUUGAUAAAUGCAUGAUUAACAAACUCAUUGGCUAUGUUAUUAUUGUCUGUUUUUUGAAAGAUUGACAUGGUGACAUGGUACUUAAUUAAAUUAAUCUCUUAAUGUAAUACUCCCCUCUGUUUCAUUUUAACUGAGUUCUUGGCUCAUUUAACACUUAUUAAGAAAAAGUGUAUAAG
This 235-nucleotide long non-coding RNA is filed under the name Medicago truncatula (barrel medic). RNAcentral describes it as "long non-coding RNA (MTRU_LNC006366)". Lineage: Eukaryota; Viridiplantae; Streptophyta; Magnoliopsida; Fabales; Fabaceae. The record is from RNAcentral.